AUCAAGGUAUCAGUGAUUUUCUGUUUUAUUUCGAUAUCCUUGUUCCAUAUUUCUAAAUCCAUCAAAUGAUAGCCUUAAUGCUCCAUUGCAAGGUCUCGAGACAACGGUACAAACUUAGUUGUUCGCCUCUGUUCAUAGCAUGUCCGUUUGAAACUCUUAGCCAGUUUGUUCGUUUUUUUUAGCAGCAACGAAUCGCCACCGUAGCAUCAUCAGUUGGGAAUUUACGACUCUUUCAAGUUCCCUCCGAUUGACGACCCACCGGUUUGCAACAUUUGUUUCUGAUCACCUUGUUUAUCUCUGUUUGAUCACCCGGAAGCUCAAAAUCGUCGGUUUCGCUCCGAUCAGUUUCGCGAUUAAGCCAGCGUACACCCUCUUAUUCGAUAGAUCGGGGCCGCUGCCGUAGUUGAGUUACUCGUCUCUACGUGACCAGACGUCCAAAACGCCGCGACGCAUUCCAUUGACUCCGCUCCUCGACCCAAGGCUUUGGUGAUAGUUAAGGACGCCACUGAGUUUUGUGAUGUUAUCAUAGAAGAUCGCUUAAGGU
Helianthus annuus (common sunflower) is the source of this 544-nucleotide long non-coding RNA. RefSeq lists it as uncharacterized. The record is from RefSeq and is a predicted model, not a curated record. NCBI's taxonomy places the organism in Eukaryota, Viridiplantae, Streptophyta, Magnoliopsida, Asterales, Asteraceae. The transcript is spliced from 3 exons.